Long non-coding RNA from Cuculus canorus (common cuckoo), 4064 nucleotides. RefSeq lists it as uncharacterized. The transcript is spliced from 5 exons. The record is from RefSeq and is a predicted model, not a curated record. NCBI's taxonomy places the organism in Eukaryota, Metazoa, Chordata, Aves, Cuculiformes, Cuculidae.
AGCACCCUCCUGACCCACUCCGCACCAGGAAGAACAGGGCAGCACAGCCCCGUCCGCAGCACUGAGCACCUCCCCGGGAAGAGAGCGUUUAUGGGACUGGGGAGGGUGUUUAGAGCAUAGGAGAUGGAGAUCCGGGCAGGAAGGAGGUGCCUCUGUUCCCCCGUCGAAAGGGGAAGCUGAAACAACGAUAAAAUAGCGCCCAUCCCCUGCACCCAGUGGUGCGAGCCCCAUGCACAGCACAGCCCCACUGAGCACGGGCUGCGCAACUACUGGGCUCGGAGUCACGCAGAGCUCCCAGAGCAUGCUCAGGAGCUGCUGCUUUGGGUUUAAAGGCAUUGGGAAGGGCUCCCCCCUUGCUUGGGGGGGUCUGGCUGUUGCCCCCCAUCCUCCACACCCCCCAAGUGGCUGUCAGGACGAGACCCAGGCUGCAGGCUGGCACAGCGUCCCUGCCUGCUCCUCCAGUUUGGCUCAGCCAGCAGCUGAGUCAGAAGAACUGCUUGGGGAAGAACCUGGAGAGGUUUGGGAAGCAGUUAGAAAGAGAAGCCAGGAAGCCUAAGACAACAAAAAAUGUGCCUUUAAGCCAAAGGCCUUCAAAAGCCUCCAGAGUCCUGUUUGUUUGUGGAGAAGCUCACAAGAAUCCUGGCAUCGCUUGGAUUCUGAGACCAGCUGCCUGCUCUGCCCUUCCUCCAGGAAUCCUCCUCACACCUACAAAUCUGAGCUCUUUACACGAGGAGCUGUUGUUGGAUCCUGUGCCCACGUUAUGGUAAAGAACUGUGCUGGCAGACAAAUGGAUUCUGAGUCAGGUCACAAGGUGAAGAAGUUUUCCUGUUCUGAAAACUGAAGGAUAUCGGUGACUGAAGAAGAUGCUCAUCUCACAAACGUGGCAGUGCAAAAUCCUUGUGCCUGAUGACAAUCCCGGGAGGUGAUUCCUACAGCCUGUGCCCCGCUGCUUGCCCUGGGGGCUCUGCCCACCCUCAUGGGAAAGCAUUUCUUCCUAAGACUUCACCUCCGUCUCCCCUCUUUCAGCUUCAAACCGUUCUCCUCAUCCUCUCCCCGCACGGUCUGAUCAAGAGCCCCUCCCCAGUUUCCCUGGAGCCCCUUCUUUCCAUACUGGAAGCUGCUCUAAGGUUUCUCUGAAGCCUCUUCUUCUCCAGGCUGAAAAACCCCAAUUCUCCCAGCCUGUCUAGAUUUGAUUCUAGGUGUUUUUUGGUUUAAAUAUGGCUUUUCUCUAUGGCCAAGUGACAAGUAGGUGUGAUCAAAGUUCAGCUGAAAUGCUCAGAAUAAUAUCUGCUCCAUAUGGAACUCGAAUAUUGCAACAAGUGGGAAACCAGGAGUGCAACUGCCUUGUCAUUACAGGAGUUGAGGAAACCAGAAAGAGCAGAUAGCUCUUCAGAAAUGACAAGCAGAGAGGAUUAUUGUUCUUUUAACCUUAAUCACGUGAAGUGCAUGCAGCAUGAUAGGUAAGGAAAUGUCCCUUAGGUGUUAUUUGUGUUGACGGUGCUCUCCUACCAAAUGUCUGGUCUGUUUUUUUUUUUAACCUCUCACCUCUAACAAGACACUGUGGCUGCUCUGCUUGUUACAGCCCCGUGUCCUCUCUGCAUCAGCCCCAUAUUCCACGUGGUGCAACCAAGGAGAGCUUUAUUUCAAAUCAGCAAAUUGGUGCAGCUCAGCUGUGGUCUUGGAUAGCUUCAUUUGCCCAAUCCACAGCCUAAACCUGAUUAUCAGUUAGGCAUGUAAAGCACUGGAGUAACUUCAGUUGGUCAGAAAACAAAUGAAUCGGAGUGGAAGCCCUUGGUGUCAUCACAGAGCUCAGAUAUCGCUGCUGGGCUCUCAUAGAAGAGCUACGCAAACACUGUGUUACGCUAGGAAACCAUUCCCAGGAGACAUGUACACUCCACCACUAAAAAAAGGGUUAAUGCUCCUUCUGUGAAUCCUCAUCAGCAUUUACUGCUUCAGCCAGAUUUGGGUUUUCACUUGCAUGUCUUUCUGGAAGCUAGAGGUUUUUUUUUUUCUUUAGUGCCAUCAAGAACAGGAAUAGAAACUUUGCAAUAAGCUCAGAAUGUUCUUUGGCUCAGCACAUGGGAAAGAGAUUUGGGGUUGGAUUUCCUCUUGCUUCACCCUUACUCCUGCCUGCUAGCAGGGUAAUGAUUUUUGUAGACAAGCGUUUCUCUUAGCUGAACCAUUGGCAAAACUGCCCGUUUCUCCCUAAUUUACUGUCGCAUCUCCUCUCAGCUGGCUUCUGGAGUGGGAUGCCUCACCUUCCCUCACUGCCAGCAGCCAAGAAGCCUUGUAAACUGAAAGACACAGUUCAUAUUGCAGACAGGGAGAGCAGGCGGGCCAGGAUGUUUAUUGCCUUCUAAGGGUUUUUACUAAGCUAUUUGGAAUGAUGGUCUGGUUACAUGUCUGUAUUGGCAACUGAUUGCAAUACCCUAACCUUUCCAGCAAUUAAAUGAUGAAUUACCAGACACAGAGUAAAACAAGCAAGUGUGCUGCCGCUUCAAAGUGGGAAAACAAAGCAGCGUGGGGCUGCGAAGGGAAAGGAGUCUGUGUCAGACGUGCACAAGAGCUCUCUUUCUGCAUUGUGCCUCCCACACUCACCGCUUCUGGAGCGCUCUGUUCCAGGCAGCUCAUCUCGCAGCACUUUGUGAUUGACUUUACAACUGUGCUACCCUCAGAUAUUAAUAGUAGAAAGAUGUUCACUGCUUUCAGCUGUUCAGCUUUGUCUCGGAUUGUCCGGGAGCUUAUUCCUGAGAGCAGAUAAUUGUCAUUGCUCAGGUACUUCAUGGAAGUGCAGAAUGAUUUGGGCUGGAUGGGACCUCAAAGCCCAUCCAGUUUCACCCUCUGCCAUGGGCAGGGACACCUCCCACUGGAUCUGGUUGCUUCAAGCCCCAUCCAACCUGUCCUUGAACACCUCCAGGGAUGAGGCAGCCACCACUGCUCUGGGCAACCUGGGCCAGGGCCUUCCCACCCUCACAGCAAAACAUUUCUCCCCAAGAUCUCAUCUCAAUCUCCCCUCUUUCAGCUGAGAACCAUUCCCCUCGUCCUCUUCUUGCCCCCUCUGAUCAAGAGUCCCUCCUCAGCUUUCCUGGAGCACCUUUCAGUACUGAAAGGACUUUUCCGAGUCUGGAAGCUGCAAUAGGAAAUAUUGAACUUGAGCUUAAUGGCUGACACAGGACAUGAGUGAUGCUGGCUUCUCGGCUGCCCGUCAGUGCUUGCCUGGCUUGGUUCAGUACCAUGUAAGAAAAUAAAGGGUGUAAGCACGUUCUACUCAGCAAAACAAAACUUUUAAGGGGAGACGGGCACCUGAUCCUCCUACUGCUACUCCUAUGGAAACGCAUCAGAGCAGAAACCCUGUUGCCAUGACGCUGCAAAAUGAACCUCACCACGGUGUGUUGGGAGCAGCUGCCGAGUAGUUCUUCCUUCGGGUUGUCCAACACGGGGACUUGGCACCGUGCUGCCGCUUGCUUCCGGGGGAGAUGGGGUGUUCUGAACAGGCUGCGGGCAAGGCAGUUCAGGUAAGAAGUCCACAUUAUUUGUAAUCAGUGUAUCUGGAACUUAAACCCAAGAGGACAGUCUCACUGCCUCCAGUUGUAUGUUAUGGGUACAUGGUGUUACCUACAGAACUUUAAAACUCGGAUCACACGACAUAGUUGGCUUUUAGAUUUAACCCUCCCCCAGUUGUAAGAAGUCUGGAAGAGGGUGUUUUUGGAACUCUGCAUAAUCAAAAGAGUAUGCAGGACUGGAGAAGGCAGUGGAAGAAGCACCUCUCACCUGGCAGGCUGGAAGAUGCUCCAGGAGCCAGGAAACUAGUGGUGCCAUGUUUAGGUUUUCAUGGCUGUGCAGGGUACGGCAUGGGGAGGGUCAGGCGCAGCUCCACACUGAGCGGGUGAAUUGUGACCAAAUGGGCUUGGCAGGACCAGACCCUUCCUUGUACACAGAAAGAAAUCAAACUCACCGUAGCCCAGUACUAAUUAUGAUUAAUUUCUUUCAAAUCAUCUUAUGGGCUUAACUGAGUUGUGCUGGGGUGGCAAGUUCAGACUACAGAGGGCAGUGCAGGAGACAAU